ACGUAGGGUGCAAGCGUUAAUCGGAAUUACUGGGCGUAAAGCGUGCGCAGGCGGUUCGCUAAGACUGAUGUGAAAGCCCCGGGCUCAACCUGGGAAUGGCACUUGAGACUGGCAGGCUGGAGUGCGGCAGAGGGGGGUGGAAUUCCAGGUGUAGCAGUGAAAUGCGUAGAGAUGUGGAGGAACACCGAUGGCGAAGGCAGCUCCCUGGGCCGAUACUGACGCUGACGCACGAAAGCGUGGGGAGCAAACAG
This 251-nucleotide ribosomal RNA is filed under the name uncultured prokaryote. RNAcentral's name for it is "partial 16S ribosomal RNA". It matches the Rfam family "Bacterial small subunit ribosomal RNA", at positions 525 to 775 of the family's 1533-position model. The record is from RNAcentral.